Molecule: ribosomal RNA, 434 nt
Filed under: Enterobacter ludwigii
Lineage: Bacteria; Pseudomonadati; Pseudomonadota; Gammaproteobacteria; Enterobacterales; Enterobacteriaceae
Also listed under: 1 other name
Description: partial 16S ribosomal RNA
Rfam family: Bacterial small subunit ribosomal RNA
Source: RNAcentral
AACGCGAAGAACCUUACCUACUCUUGACAUCCAGAGAACUUUCCAGAGAUGGAUUGGUGCCUUCGGGAACUCUGAGACAGGUGCUGCAUGGCUGUCGUCAGCUCGUGUUGUGAAAUGUUGGGUUAAGUCCCGCAACGAGCGCAACCCUUAUCCUUUGUUGCCAGCGGUCCGGCCGGGAACUCAAAGGAGACUGCCAGUGAUAAACUGGAGGAAGGUGGGGAUGACGUCAAGUCAUCAUGGCCCUUACGAGUAGGGCUACACACGUGCUACAAUGGCGCAUACAAAGAGAAGCGAACUCGCGAGAGCAAGCGGACCUCAUAAAGUGCGUCGUAGUCCGGAUUGGAGUCUGCAACUCGACUCCAUGAAGUCGGAAUCGCUAGUAAUCGUAGAUCAGAAUGCUACGGUGAAUACGUUCCCGGGCCUUGUACACACCG